UGAUUAAAUAAAUAUUACUUGUUCAGACCGUUAUAUAUAAAAACUUUUACGUUUCUCUGUCAAUUUACUUGAGAAAUCAGAUGUUGGUCUUAUUUGAUUGAAUAUGUGACAGUGUUUUGUCAGUUUUUCACUUAUUUCAUUCUGAAACCAAUCUAUGGGAAAAUGUUUCUUAUUGAUUAAGUUUUCUCUUUGAUUAGAUCCCUAAACGUGAU
Molecule: long non-coding RNA, 212 nt
Filed under: Mytilus galloprovincialis (Mediterranean mussel)
Lineage: Eukaryota; Metazoa; Mollusca; Bivalvia; Mytilida; Mytilidae
Source: RNAcentral